This 374-nucleotide ribosomal RNA is filed under the name uncultured eukaryote. RNAcentral describes it as "partial 18S ribosomal RNA". It matches the Rfam family "Eukaryotic small subunit ribosomal RNA", at positions 592 to 976 of the family's 1831-position model. The record is from RNAcentral.
UAAUAGUGUAUAUUAAAGUUGUUGCAGUUAAAAAGCUCGUAGUUGAAUGUUGGUGUCGAACGAGCGGUCAGCUUCGGCUGUACUGCUCUCUCGACUCCUUCCUUCUGUGGACUACGUCGCACUUUACUGUGUGGCGCUAGGACGCAGAUCGUUUACUGUGAAAAAAUUAGGGUGUUCAAAGCAGGCCGUACGCUUGAAUACAUUAGCAUGGAAUAAUGGAAUAGGACGUCGGGCCUAUUUUGUUGGUUCUAGGACCGUCGUAAUGAUUAAUAGGGACAGUUGGGGCCGUUUAUAUUCCGUAGUCAGAGGUGAAAUUCUCGGAUUUACGGAAGAUAAACUACUGCGAAAGCAUUCGGCAAGGAUGUUUUCGUUAA